UAAGGAAUAUUGGUCAAUGGAGGCAACUCUGAACCAGCCAUGCCGCGUGCAGGAAGACGGCCCUCUGGGUUGUAAACUGCUUUUAUUCGGGAAUAAACCUACUUACGUGUAAGUAGCUGAAUGUACCGAAGGAAUAAGGAUCGGCUAACUCCGUGCCAGCAGCCGCGGUAAUACGGAGGAUCCAAGCGUUAUCCGGAUUUAUUGGGUUUAAAGGGUGCGUAGGCGGCCUAUUAAGUCAGGGGUGAAAGACGGUAGCUCAACUAUCGCAGUGCCCUUGAUACUGGUGGGAUUGAAUGGACUAGAGCUAGGCAGAAUGUGACAAGUAGCAGUGAAAUGCAUAGAUAUGUCACAGAACACAGAUUGACAAGGCAGCUUACUAAGGUCUUAUUGACGCUGAGGCACGAAAGCGUGGAGAUCAAA
Molecule: ribosomal RNA, 420 nt
Filed under: uncultured bacterium
Lineage: Bacteria
Description: bacterial SSU rRNA
Rfam family: Bacterial small subunit ribosomal RNA
Source: RNAcentral